Delphinapterus leucas (beluga whale) is the source of this 1141-nucleotide non-coding RNA. NCBI's taxonomy places the organism in Eukaryota, Metazoa, Chordata, Mammalia, Artiodactyla, Monodontidae. The record is from RefSeq and is a predicted model, not a curated record.
CCUAGGCCUUGUCCAUUAGCCAAGCCCCCGCUCUCUGUGCCCCUACCACAGGCCAAGCCCUGCCUACCCUGAGAGCCAGGGGCCAGGACAUCUGGAUCCAAAGGAAGCAAAGCCUGGAGAGUUCACUCUGAAAGCCUGGGACAUGCUCAGGAAUAAGGUGUGAAACUCCAGAACUCAGUGACCGAAGCGGGGCUUGGUGUCUCAGCUGAACACAGACCAUCUCAGGCCAGAGAGGAGCUCUGGGGGCUCCUUAAACCCGGCUGGGAUUCCAGGAGGGGGUCUAGCACCAGCCAGGCAGCCCUUCGGAGUCUGAUUUGAAGAUUUUUCCGAGACUCAUGGCCACCAGAGGGCACCACCACCCCACAGUGUGGCAUCUUGGGCUCUCCAUCACCUCCCUGGAGAAACUGGGAAGAUUGGGAGGAGGAAGCAGGCGCGGGUCUCUGAGCUCUCAGCGGGAGCUGCCAGCAGCUGAGUUAAAUAGUCUCCAGAGUCAGGAGACCUGGGCUCUAGUGGGUUCUAGUGCCUGUUCUGCCACCGUCUUUCCCUCCCUGGUUGGCUUCAGUUCGCCUCCUCCGUUGAAUAAGGACUUGGACCACUUGGUGUCCUUUCCGGCCCACGGGGCCCUUCCCGGCUCUGAAGCUCUAGGCUUUGAGGAAAUCAUGCAAUGAACGUGACAGAAAUUGCAUCUCCUGGGCCCACCUUUACUCUGGGGUUCUCUAGGGUGCCCUGCCUGGCAGGAGGCGGAAACUGAUGUAAGCGUCACUUCUCUGGUGCUGUUGUCUGACUUGGAUGUCGGGAGGCGGACUGGCCUGGAGACUGAUGGGCAGUCUCUGUCUCCACGUCAGUCUGAAGGAGGAAUGUCUCAACAGAGCUGGCAGACACAGGUGCUGUGACACCCGUGGUGUCUGCUCCUCCAGGUUUCAGGCGAGGAGGUGUCCCUUAGGCCAUGCAUCUAACACAGCACCGGUGCGUGUAUCACUCCCUACCUGACCAAGAGCCUCUGUAACCUGGCCUGGAGCAGGGCUUCAACAUAGGGUGAAUGAAGAACAGCGGAAGACAGCAUCACACAGUGGUUAGAUUGCAAGCUCUGCAACCAGGCUGCCCAGGUUCGAAUCAGCUCUGCCACUGAGUGACCUAAAGC